UACGAAGGGGGCUAGCGUUGUUCGGAAUCACUGGGCGUAAAGAGCACGUAGGUGGCUUGAUAAGCCGGUUGUGAAAGCCCCGGGCUCAACCGGGAGUUGUCGCUCAAAACUAGCAGACUAGAGGAUGGUAGAGGGAGGUGGAAUUCCGGGUGUAGUGGUGAAAUGCGUAGAUAUCCGGAGGAACACCAGUGGCGAAGGCGGCCUCCUGGCCCAUUCCUGACACUCAGACGCGAAAGCUAGGGUAGCAAACGGG
Molecule: unclassified non-coding RNA, 253 nt
Filed under: uncultured Anaerolineales bacterium
Lineage: Bacteria; Bacillati; Chloroflexota; Anaerolineae; Anaerolineales
Description: contains 16S-23S intergenic spacer region
Rfam family: Bacterial small subunit ribosomal RNA
Source: RNAcentral